Molecule: unclassified non-coding RNA, 253 nt
Filed under: uncultured Hydrogenedentota bacterium
Lineage: Bacteria; Pseudomonadati; Candidatus Hydrogenedentota
Description: uncultured Hydrogenedentes bacterium contains 16S-23S intergenic spacer region
Rfam family: Bacterial small subunit ribosomal RNA
Source: RNAcentral
UACGGAGGUUCCAAGCGUUGUUCGGAAUUACUGGGCGUAAAGGGGGCGCAGGCGGAUAGGUUAGUGGAAAGUGGAAGCCCGGGGCUCAACCUCGGAAAGCCUUUCCAUACUGCCUAUCUUGAGUUCGUGAGAGGAAAGCGGAAUUCAGGGUGUAGCGGUGAAAUGCUUAGAUAUCCUGAGGAACACCAGUGGCGAAAGCGGCUUUCUAGCACGAAACUGACGCUGAGGCCCGAAAGCGUGGGGAGCAAACAGG